AAAGUCGUAACAAGGUUUCCGUAGGUGAACCUGCGGAAGGAUCAUUACCAAAUCUUUGUGUCCUGACCGAAAGGUCUUGACGCUUUAACCCUUUGUGAACCAAAAAACCUUACGCUUCGGUAGCAAGCUAGGCUGGGUUUCUGCCUGACCUAGUUAUCAGCCUGCCGUUAGCACCAAAUUAAAAAACUUGCAGUUAAAUAUUGUCUGAACAAACACAUUUUCGAAUGAAAAUCAAAACUUUCAACAACGGAUCUCUUGGUUCUC
Molecule: unclassified non-coding RNA, 264 nt
Filed under: Ascomycota sp.
Lineage: Eukaryota; Fungi; Ascomycota
Description: partial contains small subunit ribosomal RNA, internal transcribed spacer 1, and 5.8S ribosomal RNA
Rfam family: Eukaryotic small subunit ribosomal RNA (bases 1-47)
Source: RNAcentral